UGCCAUGAUCUUUGUUUUCUGAAUGUUGACAUUUAAGCCUAUUUUUUUACUCUCCUCUUUCACUUUCAUCAAGAGGCUCUUUAGUUCUUCUUCUCUUUUUGCCAAACAGGUGAUGUCAUCUACAUGUCUGAGAUUAUUGCUAUUUCUCCUGGCAAUCUUGAUUUCAGCUCGCUUCAUUCAGCCUGGCAUUUUGCAUGGUGUACUCUGCAUAUAAGUUAAAUAAUCUGGGUGACAAUAUACAGCCUUGAUA
This is a long non-coding RNA of Cervus elaphus (red deer), 250 nucleotides long. RefSeq lists it as uncharacterized. The transcript is spliced from 3 exons. The record is from RefSeq and is a predicted model, not a curated record. Lineage: Eukaryota; Metazoa; Chordata; Mammalia; Artiodactyla; Cervidae.